UGAAGAAUGCGUUGGAAACUCCUCUGAACUCGGGAACACUUAUUCCUUUGUUCCAGCCCGGGUCUCGUGUUAAGGGUAAUUGAACUCUGCCGCAUUCCGUGGAUACUCGAAGUUCGGAUACCCAAAACUCGGGUAUGAGACUAGAUAGUCUGAUCAGGAUACUCGAGAGAGUGAGGCAGAGGUUUGGUGAACUGAAAAACUCGGGACAAGACCUCCUUGGAUUGGAGCCUUGUUCUCAUCCAAGAUGUCGAGCCACUGGUCAAAGGUGCGGCCAGUGAUGACUUCUCGGACGGG
Long non-coding RNA from Tarenaya hassleriana, 294 nucleotides. RefSeq lists it as uncharacterized. The record is from RefSeq and is a predicted model, not a curated record. The transcript is spliced from 3 exons. Lineage: Eukaryota; Viridiplantae; Streptophyta; Magnoliopsida; Brassicales; Cleomaceae.